Long non-coding RNA from Vombatus ursinus (common wombat), 1737 nucleotides. RefSeq lists it as uncharacterized. The transcript has 6 exons. The record is from RefSeq and is a predicted model, not a curated record. NCBI's taxonomy places the organism in Eukaryota, Metazoa, Chordata, Mammalia, Diprotodontia, Vombatidae.
GGUCCUAGACAGGAGGCAGUCUGUGGCUUAAGAGUGCGCGGCCCUCUGCUCUGCUCUUCCCCUGUGACCAGCCCCUCCCCCGGCUGGUCUCAGUCACUCCACUCCAGGUUCGCCAGUGCCCCGGGUUCCUCACCUCAUCAUGAAGCGGUGGCUCAGCUUUCACCCCACUUCAGUGUAGCCUGUGACCACAGCAACCAAAGGAACGAGGAGUUUAGAGACCUCCGCCUUGGCGGUCCGGGGAGGCGAAAGACCUCGAAGAUGCAGAGAGACACAGAAAGAUGUCGGACUCAGAUCGAGAGGGCAACAGAGCCACGGGGAGAAGCUGCUGAAUUUUCAGACCUAGAGUCUGCAGAGAAAAAAAUGAGGAAGUGGUGCGAAUGAGCCUGCCCCCCCACCCCAGGCCUUCACACUACCACCCUCCAACUUUGGCCAGGUUGGAAGCCUCGCCCGCCUCACGCUCAUUCCCGGCAAAUUUUCUUCUUUCUAAAGAUGGGAAAACUUAAGCCUACAGAGAUCACAUGGUUUGUCUGAGGUCACACAGAUCAUAAAGAGCAGUGCUGGCGUCUGACCCCCAGAUCUGAAACUUCUAAUACAUUGACUUCUCAGCUCAAAUAUGAUGCUUAUUAAAGGCUUCAGUUUCGUCUGGAAACUGGAAAAUUUCUGGAAAAUGAAGGAGUCUAAUUCUAUGAUCACUGAAGACCCUUCUAGCUCUAAAGCCCGUGGGCUUAUGACCAAUAGUUUCCAUACUCAUAUUUGCUAAGUAGGCGGCUCUGUUCUCUCUUGCCUAAUUGCUACCUGAGGUAGUGGAAUGUACCAAAUUAAGUGGCCUCAUGCCCAGAAAACUCCCCCAGUUCAGGUGUUGUGCCUUUUACCCACAGAGUAGGUGAGAAAACAGAAGCCAGAAGGUGCUCAGCAACAGUUUCCCUCAUGAGACUGGUUGUCCUGCCUUCUAGCCCUCAGGCGUUCCUGCCCCUGGAAGAAAUUCUACUCAUCAGCAAACUCUGUGUCACAAAGGUAUCUCAUGCCUCUGAAAGGUCCAAAUGAAAAGUAGUGUCCCAGGAAAUGGCAAUGUGCUUCAAAGUUUCAGCUGUAUGAUGGGGAAUGAAGUUCUGUUUUUUCUAAUCUAUUCUACUACGUGGUCCUCUUGUAGAAUAUAAUCUCUUUGUCGUCCCAUUGAAGAAGGCACAUCUCUUUGAGGCUUGAGACAAUCCGGGCUUGGACCAGAGUGGUGGCAAUGACAGUAGAGAAACAGAAACUCUGAUCCUACGAGAAGAGUGGGCAGGAUCCGGUGUCCCAUUGGACGUAAGCAAUGAAGGAGACACAAUCAAAGGUGACCUCUUAGGUUUUGCCUCCAGUUUUUAAAGUUGAGGACCUAGAAACAAAAGUCACUUCAGAAGAUGAAUUUAAAAAGAGUCUCUGGACCUGACCUAUGCAAUCACAGAAGAAACUCAUGCUGGAGGGGAAAAAGCGGACAGAAUUUCCAGCUCUUGCCCUCCUCAGGAGAACGUGGGUAUUGGACGCCAAAGGAGCAAGUCAUGCUUGACACAGGAAGUACGUGGUGAACAGGACCUCUUGACAGCCUUUCCAUUAUCCUCUUCAUCAACAGUCUUGUUGGAUUUCUGUUUUGACCCUGCCAGUGUCCCUGACCUCAUUAUCAUCCUACUGGGAAAAAAGAAGCAAAAAAUAACAAUAACAAAAAAAAAAACUGAAAUAAGCCAGAGAACAAAUCCUAGUCCC